CAAAAUCAACAGACCAGUGAUUCUAUGAUGUCUAGGCAAAUGCGCAUGAUUCCAUUCAUCUCAGGUGGGAAACACUGGCCUAAAAUGACCUUCUAUCCGGAGACCACAGAUCCCCAUUCAGCCCCCUGAACCCAACUUCAAACAUUCAGCUCAUGAGCUGGGAAAUCAGGUCAUCCAACUUUCCAUCUUCUGGGGGCUCCUUGGAAGCACUGAACAGUGGAGGUCCUUUGUGACCUGUCCACUGGGGAACUCCAUUGUCCAGAUCCUGAUGUCAUUAGGAAGGCUCCAUGUUGCUACCAGCAUGAUAACCAUCUCAUCUAGCUGUCCCUAUUCUAUGUAAACCAGCUCGGUGCCGACAGGUGGUUUUGUUCUAUGAGGCUAUUCACACCCACCAGGCUUCCCCAACACCAGGGCAGCCGAGAGAACACCGAGGCUCAAGUCCUCAGGCCGGAGACCUGCGCUCCUCGUUCACGCUUCCCUGCUGCGUCCUCCAUCUGCAUUUUGAAUGAUACUGUACAACUCCUGCUGGGAAAACAUGGAAUGAAUCACAACGGGUGUGAAAGAGAAGAGACGCUGUUACCUGAAAGCUUUCUACGCUUAAGAUUUUUUAAAUACGUGAAGCAAGAGAAACUCUUUUUAUUCUGCUUCGCUCAUUUUAGUGUGGAAUUCUCACUCACCGUGUGUAGCGGCAUAAGCGGGGGCAGCAGUGAAGACGGCCAGCUCGUGAUGCUGCCCAAAUACCAUUCUUACACGACUCCCCCACUGGCCAGAGUGGGGAGGACUGGAGAUGAGAGGGAGCCCCUCCGACAGGCCCGCUGCAUUCCCACGCACGGGAGCUGUCUAGUCGAGAGGACAGAGACAGAACCAGAGCCCCCAGCUUGAAACGGAAUGACAAAAUAGUGCCUCUCUUGUUUUCUCCUCCUUGUUAUCUGAGCUACUGGUCCCAGACCUGCAGCAUCCUCAGCCUUGGCUCCAGACACUCGAGCCGGAGAUUUAUUUAGAGAAAGAAAGCAGACACAGAGCUGUGGGUCAGGGUUCAGCCCACCCCAUCCAGGUAGCUGGGUUCUCAAACCCUGGACCUACUGCUUGUUAGCUCUGCGAGCCAAACCAAGGUCCUUAAAAUCUCCAAGCCUCAGUUGAGAGAAAACACAUCUGUGAAAUGGGCAUAAUGACGGCACCUCCAGGACAGGGCUGCUGCGAGGACUGAGGCAGAUACUGCGUGGGCAGCGUUAGCUGUUCCUGCCACAGGGCAAGUGCUCAAGAGUGUCAGCAAUGAAUGAAGGAAGAGGAAAGAAAGAAAAGGCAAUCGUCCCCCUGUUAGCAACCUGAGCUGAUUCCUCUUCUGAGACUGGAAAUGCCUAAUGAGCCGGGUUCUGAGCUCUGCUCAGAGGAGCAACAGUAAGCCUGACUUAAGUGGCUAUUCUUGGCUCCACCAAAAAAGAACUGGAAAGAAAAUGACCUGAUUUUGCAGCAAGGGAUACUGAGAUUAAGCCAAGGGAAGGUGCUAUGGACUGAACUGGGUCCCCGCCAAAUGCCCACAUGGAAGCCUUCCCCCCCAGGGUGGUGGCACUGGAGAGGGGGCCUUCGGGAGCGAUUAGGUUCAGAUGAGGUCAUGGGGGGUGGUCCUGCUUUAGUCCCUCUGGACUGCUAUAACAAAAAUAACACAGACAGCGUGGCUUAAACAGCAGAAAUGUAUUUAUCGCAGUUCUGGAGGCUGGAAGUGUGAGAUGAGGGUGCCAACAGACUCAGCAUCUGGUGAGAGCCCGCUUCCGGCUUCUCCUCGCAUCCUUCCAUGGCGGCGAGCAGACGGAAAGCAGCUCUCUCAUGUCUCCUCAUGAGCAGACGGAGCGCACCACGGGGGCUCAAUCUUCAUGCUCUAAUUAACUCCCAAAGGCCCCGCUCCAAAUCCCAUCACACUGGGGACCAGGGUUUCAGCAGAUGAAUGCUGGGGGACAUAAAGAUGCAGUCCGUAGCAAGCCCUCAUGAUGGAGCUCAACCACCCUGGAGCUCUGAUCUUGGACCUCCAGGCUCCAGACCUGUGGGAAAGUAAAUUUUGAUUGUUGAAGCCAGCCAGUCCAUGACUGCUUGAGCUGACUACAGACUAUUGCUGGUGAAUACUAAUACUAAUAUUGCUAACACUGCCUGGUAUAAAUCUGAGACCUUGAGAAAAACUACUGCCUGUAGAGGCUCUAGUGUUUGGGUGAUGAAGUCAAAGAGUCUGUGUUCGUGUCAGCUCGGCCCCUUCCUAAACCGCAUGAAGUCAGGCAGGUUACCGAGCUUUUCUCAGUCUCAACUACUUCAGCCAUAAAUAGAGAUGCUAAUGCUACCCAGCUCCCAGCAAGGUUGUGAAAAUUACAUGAGGUAAUACACGUAAAGUGCCCCGUGCCCAGUGAGCACGCAGGGCCAGCCUGGGGAUACAGGACACCUAUCAGAGAGGAAGGCAGCCGGAGCCCAUGGCUCUAUGGAGCUGGCCUUUGGUGGGCUGUUCCAUUCUAAUCUUCCAUCGGCAGAAGAAGUCCUGGAACCUCUGGAUUUCAGAGUCAUUGGAGGCUCCUGAUAAGCUCAUCUCUGGAAAGAAUCUGGUCGUUGGACAGAGCGCCCUGAAGUUGAAUCCCAGCUCUGCCGUCUGUUAGCUCAGAGCGUCAUCCCUCAGCGCUGCCCCGCCCCCUUCAGCCGCCUGGAGUUAACGCCUCUCUUCGAGGGUCCCACGUCGUCCCCCUUAUCUGCAGCGGAUACAUUACAAGACUCCCAGUGGAUGCCUGAAACCACGGAGCUCACACUCCAGCAGGAGAAGCCAAGGUGUGAAAAGAUGCAGGUGGAGGGAGGAAGUGGAGAAAGUGGUCAGGAGGCUGGGAGAUGACCUGCCAAAAGCCACCUGAGAGCUACUGGGUCCUCCUCCUCAACUGUCAACCUGAGCUUGGUGUGACCACGACGUCCUGAGCUCAUUGAGGACAGUGCUUCCUAAAGAGUUUUCCAGGUGUUCGCGGGGGUGAGAAUGGCACGCUGUGUGAGCCCAUCCUCCAGAGAAAGAGCACCAGUGGGGGCUGCGUGGAUCCACAGAAACAGAUGGAUGAGGAGGGGCUGGCUCGCGAGACUGUGGAGGCUGAGAAGGCCCACAGUGUGCCAUCUGCAAACCAGAGGCCCAGCAAAGUUGGCGGUGCAGCUCCAGUCCACGCCCGAGGCCUGAGAAGCAGGACACCAGUGUUUGCGGGCAGGAGAACACGGAGGUCCCAGCCCAGCGGGGAGCCAAUUCAUCCCUCCUCCACCUUUGUUCUAUUUGAGCCCCCAUGGAUUGGCGACGUCCUCCUACACUGGGGUCACCUCCUUCAGGAAGCCUUCCUGGAUCAGAAUGCAUCUGGGUGGAGAGCCCUUUGUCUGCAUUCGCACAGUGCCCUGCCCUUCCCUGCCCAGCCUGGACCGUGUCUGGACAUUAAUGCACCAAACUCAAGUUGUGGUUUCGUGUCUGUGUCUGGAGGCUGUGAGCUCCCUGAGGAAUCCAAGAAGGUGUGUGAGAAGGAAGCCUGGAGCUGGCAAGAGAAGGCGUGCUGGCUCUCUUCUCUCCACUCACAAGCUGCUGGAGCCGACACCUUCACCUGUGGGGAAGAAGGGAUCCCUGCCCUCCUUGGGAUGCCUAUGGUGUCCCACAGAAACGUCUGCAGGCACGUUCUCAAAGGACUGCAGUCCUUUCCAGGUUCUUUUGCUUCUAAAUCUCGGAGCCAGGGGGUGAUGAAGUCCUCGCGGGUGGAGGAGUCGGCAGAGGUCCUGCGGCUCGAGAGAAAUCCCGUCGUGCCUAGAAGCCACGUGUCCUGCCUUCGUGUCCGGAAGCCGGUCCUCCCUGUCACAGAUGUAAUCAAGUUAAGACGAGGUCACGCUGGAUUGGGGUGUCCAAUGGCUGCUGUCCUUUUAAGGAGAGAGAUAUUUGGGGACAAAGCUACACAGUGGGAUGGAGGCAGAGAUUGGAAUAAUGUAGCUACAAGCCAACGAGCACCAAGAAUUGCUGCGAACCACAAAAGCCAGGGUGCGGCGAGGAUGGCUUCUUUCUCUAGAAGACUGACUGUAGGGUUCUCCGCCAGAGUCCUCGCAGGGAGCAUGGCCCUGCCUACACCUCAGUCUCCAGAACUGGG
Molecule: long non-coding RNA, 4124 nt
Filed under: Equus caballus (horse)
Lineage: Eukaryota; Metazoa; Chordata; Mammalia; Perissodactyla; Equidae
Description: lncRNA (ENSECAG00000049751.1)
Source: RNAcentral